CGCCGCCAGGAGCCCGCCUGACACUCCGCGGUCUUGGUGUUUUCUGUCCUGUUGCAUCGAAACAAUUCCUCAGGACACCAACAUCACCCAAGGCCACUGUGUGACCACGAAGGGUCAAGACGAAAACAGGGCACCUCUGUAAUCAUCCUGAACCCGGACAAAACAAGAACAUUGUCCGAACCCCCAAAAUUGACCAAACAUCCCCUCUCCCAGCUAAUCUGAGCCCUGGUUAGGCCUCUGCUUUGCCAGUGACGGCGGCAGGCUGUCUCUAGUCUGCUCUCCCCAUCUCCCCACCCAGCGAUAGAACCACCUGGGUCCUGGCAGCAUCUAACCCAGAGCAAACCCACUUCCUAAGCCCUCCCCCAAGUCACUCCCCCCCCCCCCAGGGGUACAUGCAAGCUUCUCCUCCUCCUCCUUGCUGCAGUAAGAACCCCAACUUGUUCUCUUCGAGGUGUGUCCCUGGGGGCUUUGGCUGGAGGGCAUUGACAACAGUUCAGUGACUUGCCCGAGGAGGUGACCCAGGCGACAGGUUCCUGCUGCACCAGAGAGGAUGGUGCUCUCCCACCCUGAAAGAUAGAAAUGCAAAGUCGUGACAGUCACCUGAGAAUCUGUGGCCCUAAGCAUUCCUGGGAGUGGGGCUAGGAAAACAGAAAUGCAGAAACCAGAGUUUGAAACGCCUCCACCCUUCACACCUCCCUCCCCCUCUCGCCCUCCCUCCCUGUCCUACCUCCCUCGUUGCUCCCAGCCCCCGGCCAGCAGGCCAGCACUGCUCUGGCCUCUGCUCGGUGCUCUGAAGGUUAUGCAUCCAGGGGACUCCUCCUCCUCUUCCGACGCUGACACCCGGCGGCUGCUGCACAGUUUCUGUUCCCGGGGGUGGCUGAUGGGUCAGAAAGACAGUGGAGGUGGGGGGUCUCAAGCUGCGCUUGCAGAGCAAGCACAGUUUUUAAUCAGAUCAAUGAAAACAGCAAAGUUUUCUGAUGAUGCCUUCCCUCUCCAGUUGCUUGUUGUGUGUGUGUGUGUGUGUGUGUGUAAAUUGUCAUUUAUUUGGGGUGACUGAGGGAGAAGCGGACAGAGAUGACAGGGAGAAGUCUGACACUCCCAGCCCCCAGCCACUCCCUGGUGGGCCCACUGAAAACUCUGUCUCCUGGUUGGACGGAGAAAGAGGGGUCUACGUACCUUUUGUACCUCGGUCCCCAGCGCUCAGCCACACCCCCCUCCAUGAAUGAAGGCCACACAGUGGAACAUCAGUAGGGAUCAGGGAAAAGAGAGGUUCGCAGAUUUCACAUACACACGGACACGCAAACACACAGAUAGAUGCGUCCCCAGUGCCCGCAGCCCCCAACACACUGGGAGUGAUCUGUGGGGUCCCUACAAACUCGCCCCCCCCCCAUAUGACCAUGCUCGCUCCCGGCCUCAUCAAACAUUUAUCAUGUAGCGCUCCUGCCUCGCGCCGCCGUGGGGGACAGUGAGGUAAAUAUGCCUUCCUUACCCCUAAGGAGCGUGGAAUCUAAUUAUCUUCUAGAGAUCCUUUGGGGAUCUGCUUAAUAAAUCAAUACAAAUGAUUUAUAAUUAGAAUAUCAAUUAUGUGUAUGCAAAUGUGGCCUUCUGGGUGGUUGGGAACAAGUCCUAAGGAUUGAAAAGACUCUAUCCCCCCACCUCUACCCCAAAUAGUUAAUUACGUUAUUUUGUUCAUUCAUCAAACAUUUACUGAACACCUUUUCAUGCCAGGCACAGAGAUGGGGACCAAGGAUCCAUUCCUGGUCACUCACAGUCAGGAGGGAAGAACCAAGGGGGUUCUGGCGGCGGGGAGAGCUUGCUUCUGGGGGAGGAAGGGUGCCGGCGUUGGUCCUCUUCCCCCGCCCCCUAGACCUCCCAACAUCCGCCUCGAUGGCUGAGACCCUCAGCUGAGCAGGCGGCCCUCCCAAGUCCUCAUGCCUGAGAUUGGAAGGGCCCCCAUCUCUGGACAAGGGUUAGGCCCCACGGCUGCACCCCUGUUUGCAAAGCUGUCGGGCAGCUCUGACUCUGAUCUCCCCACUCCGCAUCCAGGCUGGUUCUGAGUUGCUGGGUCUACGUGGGUUUUAAGAAGUCCUGUGUACAAGCUAGUCCUGAAACUCGAAGGCCCGGUGACUGGAUCUUCGUCCAUUCCUUCAUCCAUCCGUUCAUUUCUUCACUCGCUCCUCUGUCGAUUGCUGUCUUCAAGCCCUUGCUAGGUGCUGGAG
This 2219-nucleotide long non-coding RNA is filed under the name Equus asinus (donkey). RNAcentral's name for it is "lncRNA (ENSEASG00005035497.1)". The record is from RNAcentral. Lineage: Eukaryota; Metazoa; Chordata; Mammalia; Perissodactyla; Equidae.